This 449-nucleotide ribosomal RNA is filed under the name uncultured bacterium. Its description in RNAcentral is "bacterial SSU rRNA". It matches the Rfam family "Bacterial small subunit ribosomal RNA", at positions 329 to 793 of the family's 1533-position model. The record is from RNAcentral.
UUCCAGACUCCUACGGGAGGCAGCAGUGGGGAAUAUUGGGCAAUGGGCGAGAGCCUGACCCAGCAACGCCGCGUGAAGGAAGAAGGCUUUCGGGUUGUAAACUUCUUUUGACAGGGAAGAGCAGAAGACGGUACCUGUCGAAUAAGCCACGGCUAACUACGUGCCAGCAGCCGCGGUAAUACGUAGGUGGCAAGCGUUGUCCGGAUUUACUGGGUGUAAAGGGCGUGUAGCCGGGCUGACAAGUCAGAUGUGAAAUCCGGGGGCUCAACCCCCGAACUGCAUUUGAAACUGUUUUUCUUGAGUACUGGAGAGGCAGACGGAAUUCCUAGUGUAGCGGUGAAAUGCGUAGAUAUUAGGAGGAACACCAGUGGCGAAGGCGGUCUGCUGGACAGCAACUGACGCUGAGGCGCGAAAGCGUGGGGAGCAAACAGGAUUAGAUACCCGUGUAA